GACGAACGCUGGCGGCGUGCUUAACACAUGCAAGUCGAACGGAAAGGCCCUGCUUUUGUGGGGUGCUCGAGUGGCGAACGGGUGAGUAACACGUGAGUAACCUGCCCUUGACUUUGGGAUAACUUCAGGAAACUGGGGCUAAUACCGGAUAGGAGCUCCUGCUGCAUGGUGGGGGUUGGAAAGUUUCGGCGGUUGGGGAUGGACUCGCGGCUUAUCAGCUUGUUGGUGGGGUAGUGGCUUACCAAGGCUUUGACGGGUAGCCGGCCUGAGAGGGUGACCGGCCACAUUGGGACUGAGAUACGGCACAGACUCCUACGGGAGGCAGCAGUGGGGAAUAUUGCACAAUGGGCGGAAGCCUGAUGCAGCAACGCCGCGUGCGGGAUGACGGCCUUCGGGUUGUAAACCGCUUUCGCUCAUGACGAAGCUUUGUGUGACGGUAGUGGGUAAAGAAGCACCGGCUAACUACGUG
Molecule: ribosomal RNA, 469 nt
Filed under: uncultured bacterium
Lineage: Bacteria
Description: partial 16S ribosomal RNA
Rfam family: Bacterial small subunit ribosomal RNA
Source: RNAcentral